This 1462-nucleotide ribosomal RNA is filed under the name uncultured organism. Its description in RNAcentral is "SSU rRNA". It matches the Rfam family "Bacterial small subunit ribosomal RNA". The record is from RNAcentral.
GAUGAACGCUAGCUACAGGCUUAACACAUGCAAGUCGAGGGGCAUCAGGAAGAAAGCUUGCUUUCUUUGCUGGCGACCGGCGCACGGGUGAGUAACACGUAUCCAACCUGCCCUUUACUCGGGGAUAGCCUUUCGAAAGAAAGAUUAAUACCCGAUAGCAUAAUGAUUCCGCAUGGUUUCAUUAUUAAAGGAUUCCGGUAAAGGAUGGGGAUGCGUUCCAUUAGGUUGUUGGUGAGGUAACGGCCCACCAAGCCUUCGAUGGAUAGGGGUUCUGAGAGGAAGGUCCCCCACAUUGGAACUGAGACACGGUCCAAACUCCUACGGGAGGCAGCAGUGAGGAAUAUUGGUCAAUGGGCGCUAGCCUGAACCAGCCAAGUAGCGUGAAGGAUGAAGGCUCUAUGGGUCGUAAACUUCUUUUAUAUAAGAAUAAAGUGCAGUAUGUAUACUGUUUUGUAUGUAUUAUAUGAAUAAGGAUCGGCUAACUCCGUGCCAGCAGCCGCGGUAAUACGGAGGAUCCGAGCGUUAUCCGGAUUUAUUGGGUUUAAAGGGAGCGUAGGUGGACUGGUAAGUCAGUUGUGAAAGUUUGCGGCUCAACCGUAAAAUUGCAGUUGAUACUGUCAGUCUUGAGUACAGUAGAGGUGGGCGGAAUUCGUGGUGUAGCGGUGAAAUGCUUAGAUAUCACGAAGAACUCCGAUUGCGAAGGCAGCUCACUGGACUGCAACUGACACUGAUGCUCGAAAGUGUGGGUAUCAAACAGGAUUAGAUACCCUGGUAGUCCACACAGUAAACGAUGAAUACUCGCUGUUUGCGAUAUACAGUAAGCGGCCAAGCGAAAGCAUUAAGUAUUCCACCUGGGGAGUACGCCGGCAACGGUGAGACUCAAAGGAAUUGACGGGGGCCCGCACAAGCGGAGGAACAUGUGGUUUAAUUCGAUGAUACGCGAGGAACCUUACCCGGGCUUAAAUUGCAGUGGAAUGAUGUGGAAACAUGUCAGUGAGCAAUCACCGCUGUGAAGGUGCUGCAUGGUUGUCGUCAGCUCGUGCCGUGAGGUGUCGGCUUAAGUGCCAUAACGAGCGCAACCCUUAUCUUUAGUUACUAACAGGUUAUGCUGAGGACUCUAGAGAGACUGCCGUCGUAAGAUGUGAGGAAGGUGGGGAUGACGUCAAAUCAGCACGGCCCUUACGUCCGGGGCUACACACGUGUUACAAUGGGGGGUACAGAAGGCAGCUAGCGGGUGACCGUAUGCUAAUCCCAAAAUCCUCUCUCAGUUCGGAUCGAAGUCUGCAACCCGACUUCGUGAAGCUGGAUUCGCUAGUAAUCGCGCAUCAGCCACGGCGCGGUGAAUACGUUCCCGGGCCUUGUACACACCGCCCGUCAAGCCAUGGGAGCCGGGGGUACCUGAAGUACGUAACCGCAAGGAUCGUCCUAGGGUAAAACUGGUGACUGGGGCUAAGUCAUAACA